Molecule: long non-coding RNA, 286 nt
Filed under: Mytilus galloprovincialis (Mediterranean mussel)
Lineage: Eukaryota; Metazoa; Mollusca; Bivalvia; Mytilida; Mytilidae
Source: RNAcentral
AGCUGUUAACACAAACCACGUAGCGUUACGUUCUCAAAAUCUCCAUUUUCUGCCGGAAUUAAUUUCUCAUUUACUAAUGUUAUCAUUGCAGCAGUGUCCACAAUCAUGCUCACAUUCUGGUCAUGUAUAGUACCUCGUACUGCUAAGCUCUUUCAAAUGGUUCGUCUGAUGACAAUAUCGGACGAGGACGUGGGCCUCUGUUCGAUUUUGUGAUGAGGUGAUGUUUCAUGGCCAAUAGACUUUGGAAUCGUGCGUUGGCCUACUGGCCCGACCCUUUGCUGUUUAA